GCUGAGCUCAGUAGCGUGAGCUUGUAACCCAAGUGGGAGGAAUAAGAUGAUCGGGACAACCAAAUCUUC
Molecule: non-coding RNA, 69 nt
Filed under: Solanum tuberosum (potato)
Lineage: Eukaryota; Viridiplantae; Streptophyta; Magnoliopsida; Solanales; Solanaceae
Source: RNAcentral